This 31-nucleotide non-coding RNA is filed under the name Mus musculus (house mouse). Lineage: Eukaryota; Metazoa; Chordata; Mammalia; Rodentia; Muridae. The record is from RNAcentral.
AACCAGAAGACAAGUAGUUGUGUAUGAGUUA